Molecule: transfer RNA, 69 nt
Filed under: Mustelus mosis (Arabian smooth-hound)
Lineage: Eukaryota; Metazoa; Chordata; Chondrichthyes; Carcharhiniformes; Triakidae
Description: tRNA-Cys
Rfam family: tRNA
About the family: Transfer RNA (tRNA) molecules are approximately 80 nucleotides in length. Their secondary structure includes four short double-helical elements and three loops (D, anti-codon, and T loops).
Source: RNAcentral
AGCCCCGAAGUAGCUGUAGUACAUUGGAUUGCAAAUCCAAAGACGGAGGUUAACCCCCUCCCGGGGCUU